RNAcentral lists this ribosomal RNA (391 nucleotides) under uncultured bacterium. Its description in RNAcentral is "bacterial SSU rRNA". It matches the Rfam family "Bacterial small subunit ribosomal RNA", at positions 28 to 417 of the family's 1533-position model. The record is from RNAcentral.
GACGAACGCUGGCGGCGUGCUUAACACAUGCAAGUCGUGCGGAAAGGCCCCUUUUUGGGGUGCUCGAGCGGCGAACGGGUGAGUAACACGUGAGUAACCUGCCCUGCGCUUGGGGAUAACCCUCGGAAACGGGGGCUAAUACCGGAUGGUCACAUGCUGUCGCAUGGUGGUGUGUGGAAAGGAUUUCGGUUUGGCGUGGGAUGGGCUCGCGGCCCAUCAGCUUGUUGGUGGGGUGAUGGCCACCAAGGCGACGACGGGUAGCCGGCCUGAGAGGGCGACCGGCCACACUGGGACUGAGACACGGCCCAGACUCCUACGGGAGGCAGCAGUGGGGAAUAUUGCACAAUGGGCGCAAGCCUGAUGCAGCGACGCCGCGUGGGGAUGACGGCCU